GCACAAGCGGUGGAUGAUGUGGAUUAAUUCGAUGCAACGCGAAGAACCUUACUACCCUUGACAUGUCCGGAACUUGCCAGAGAUGGCUUGGUGCCCGAAAGGGAACCGGAACACAGGUGCUGCAUGGCUGUCGUCAGCUCGUGUCGUGAGAUGUUGGGUUAAGUCCCGCAACGAGCGCAACCCUUGUCCUUAGUUGCUACGCAAGAGCACUCUAAGGAGACUGCCGGUGACAAACCGGAGGAAGGUGGGGAUGACGUCAAGUCCUCAUGGCCCUUAUGGGUAGGGCUUCACACGUCAUACAAUGGUCGGUACAGAGGGUUGCCAAGCCGCGAGGUGGAGCCAAUCCCACAAAGCCGAUCGUAGUCCGGAUUGUUCUCUGCAACUCGAGAGCAUGAAGUCGGAAUCGCUAGUAAUCGCAGGUCAGCAUACUGCGGUGAAUACGUUCCCGGGUCUU
RNAcentral lists this ribosomal RNA (454 nucleotides) under uncultured Thiobacillus sp. RNAcentral's name for it is "bacterial SSU rRNA". It matches the Rfam family "Bacterial small subunit ribosomal RNA", at positions 923 to 1382 of the family's 1533-position model. Lineage: Bacteria; Pseudomonadati; Pseudomonadota; Betaproteobacteria; Nitrosomonadales; Thiobacillaceae. The record is from RNAcentral.